GACGUAGGAUGCAAGCGUUGUCCGGAUUUAUUGGGCGUAAAGAGUUCGUAGGCGGUCUGUUAAGUCUGAUGUUAAAGAUCGGGGCCCAACCCUGGGAGUGCAUUGGAUACUGGCAGGCUUGAGUGCAGUAGAGGCGAGUGGAAUUCCCAGUGUAGCGGUGAAAUGCGUAGAUAUUGGGAAGAACACCGGUGGCGUAGGCGACUCGCUGGGCUGUAACUGACGCUGAGGAACGAAAGCCAGGGGAGCGAAUGGG
This 253-nucleotide ribosomal RNA is filed under the name uncultured bacterium. Its description in RNAcentral is "partial 16S ribosomal RNA". It matches the Rfam family "Bacterial small subunit ribosomal RNA", at positions 524 to 776 of the family's 1533-position model. The record is from RNAcentral.